AGACCUCGACAAGGACACAAACUCAACACUACGUACUCUGAAACUGAAAUAUGCAAAGGCUAUGGCGCGGAUGGGUUGUAGGACAUGAGAACAAUAUAGCACUAGACUUAUGCUACGAACACAAGGACACUCGAAACUAAGGGUAGUUGUGAAACUAAUGGUAUGUCUGAACCUUUGAUUACCACUUGAGGAGAAUAAGUGUGGCCCGAUCUUGUGAAAUGUUCUGGUAACUAUCGAUUUGGUCGAAACGUGACACAAAUCAAUCCAGCUUGCGAACAACACGAUCCAAAACCCUGCAAUUCUUUUUAUUUUUUUGAUAUUUUUCUCUUACUUAGGAGCACUCAAGAAGUAACCACAGGAAAUUUGAGCUCAUACAAGUGCAAGACGUGGCCUGUGGAAAUUUUUGAAGAUUGCAAAAAAUAUGAAAAAAAACUUUAGGAGGUGAAAACUCAAACUUCAGAGGCGAAUUUGGGGAUUCUAAAAUUGUCAAAGCUUCUCAUGGCAGGGAUAGACAGAUCCAAAAAAAAUUUUCUGAUCGAUUUGGAUAUAUGGAACGUCAAAAUCGGAGUUCGUCUGCGAAAAUUAUGGCUGUUUUACGAACGGACUCCGAAUUAGAGGACAAAACGGUCCGGAUGUGGGAAAAAUUUGCGGCGGUGGCUAUAAAUUUAUGGAAACGGUGGGAAGAAACACACAAACUGGACUCUAACGAGACCUAACCAGUAACAAGACCUUGACCACGACACAAACUCAACACUACGGACUCUGAAACUGAAAUAUGCAAAGGCUAUGGCGCGGAUGGGUUGUAGGACAUGAGAAAAAUAUAGCACUAGACUUAUGCGACGAACACAAGGACACUCGAAACUAAGGGUAGUUGUGAAACUAAUGGUAUGUCUGAACCUUUGAUUACCACUUGAGGAGAAUAAGUGUGGCCC
This 932-nucleotide long non-coding RNA is filed under the name Sorghum bicolor (sorghum). Its description in RNAcentral is "long non-coding RNA (SBIC_LNC010515)". Lineage: Eukaryota; Viridiplantae; Streptophyta; Magnoliopsida; Poales; Poaceae. The record is from RNAcentral.